This 1223-nucleotide long non-coding RNA is filed under the name Sus scrofa (pig). RNAcentral's name for it is "lncRNA (ENSSSCG00050028521.1)". The record is from RNAcentral. Lineage: Eukaryota; Metazoa; Chordata; Mammalia; Artiodactyla; Suidae.
CACGCGGUGGGCGGCUCUGCCGCGGGGCGGCGUCGCGGCGCUGUCACUGCGGGGCGCACGGACCCGCGCACGGUCAGUCCCUGGCCGGGGCGGACGCGCGGCUGCGGGGCUCCAGCGCCUCCAGUAGAUGAGGCGCUCUGGGAGGGCAGGGGCCUGUCCCACCCGCUCUGGGCCCUGCUCCAGCCCCGGCCUGUGCUGAAUCGAGAACGGCACGCUCUCUGUGUCUCCAGCACCCCCUGCCCUCUCGCCUCCAGCCAUGGCGCCCCUGCUCGCCCUGUUGCUGGUGGCCCUGGUGGGCCUGCCUGUGGCCCAGGCUCUGGAGUGCCACGUGUGUGCCUACGAAGGAGAGAACUGCUUCAACCCCAUGCCCUGCCCGGCCAUGGUCGCCUACUGCAUGACCACGCGCACUUACUACACUCAGACCAAGAUGAAGGUGAGCAAGUCCUGCGUGCCCAGAUGCUUCGAGACCGUGUACGACGGCUACUCCAAGCACGCGUCCACCACGUCCUGCUGCCAGUACGACCUCUGCAACGGCGCUGGCCUCACGGCGCCCGCGACCCUGGCCCUGGCCCUCAUACUCCUGGCCACCCUCUGGGGUCUCCUCUAAAGCCCUCUCCCGCCUCCGCAGACUGUCCAGCACAAAGCUCUGAGCAGCACGGACCCCACCCUCUGCCCUCCCAGACCCCCCAGCCACACCCAGGACUGUCUGCAAGAGAACCCGACCUCCCCUGGCCACCCUGGGGUCAGCUUCCAGGUCACGACCUGUUACUUCCAAAAGGCUCUUGUGGGACCACGCCUCCUGAGGCAUCUGUCCAAGGAUGGGGUGCAGGCAGAGCUGUGCUGGAGGGGGAGGCGAGAUGAGGGACCCAGGGGUGGUGGACAGUGGUAGGACGAAGGCUCUCCAAGGCCCCAAAGGGGCUGUCUCUGUGUCCCUGACUGAGGCCGGAGCUGCCCAGGGCAGGUGUGGCAUGGGGGCUGAGCCACGAAGGCCUGUGUCCCCUUUGGCUGUCCCGGGGAGGGUGCCAGCCUCUGUCCAGUGGCCUGUGGCAGGGGACGGUGUAGGUCCGCCUAAAGAGACCUUCCAGCCCCAGGAGUGGAUUCUGGGUCCAGUGCGGGGGUCUGUCCCUUCUUACUCAGCCAGACCCUUGACCUUCCCCCUCCCCACCCAGCACUGGGCGGCCGCAGGACAGGCCAGGCUAUAUUUGGUCAAGCCUGAGAGCUGA